RNAcentral lists this unclassified non-coding RNA (329 nucleotides) under soil metagenome. Its description in RNAcentral is "partial contains 5.8S ribosomal RNA, internal transcribed spacer 2, and large subunit ribosomal RNA". The stretch from base 1 to 120 matches the Rfam family "5.8S ribosomal RNA", at positions 35 to 154 of the family's 154-position model. The record is from RNAcentral.
GAUGAAGAACGUAGCGAAAUGCGAUAACUAAUGUGAAUUGCAGAAUUCCGUGAAUCAUCGAAUCUUUGAACGCACAUUGCGCCCCCUGGUAUUCCGGGGGGCAUGCCUGUCCGAGCGUCAUUACAACCCUCAAGCCCAGCUUGGUGUUGGGCCCCGCCGCCCCGGCGGGCCCUAAAGUCAGUGGCGGUGCCGUCCGGCUCCGAGCGUAGUAAUUCUUCUCGCUCUGGAGGUCCGGUCGUGUGCUCGCCAGCAACCCCCAAUUUUUUUCAGGUUGACCUCGGAUCAGGUAGGGAUACCCGCUGAACUUAAGCAUAUCAAUAAGCGGAGGA